UUAAGCGACUAAGCGUACACGGUGGAUGCCCUGGCAGUCAGAGGCGAUGAAGGACGUGCUAAUCUGCGAUAAGCGUCGGUAAGGUGAUAUGAACCGUUAUAACCGGCGAUUUCCGAAUGGGGAAACCCAGUGUGAUUCGUCACACUAUCAUUAACUGAAUCCAUAGGUUAAUGAGGCGAACCGGGGGAACUGAAACAUCUAAGUACCCCGAGGAAAAGAAAUCAACCGAGAUUCCCCCAGUAGCGGCGAGCGAACGGGGAGCAGCCCAGAGCCUGAAUCAGUGUGUGUGUUAGUGGAAGCGUCUGGAAAGGCGCGCGAUACAGGGUGACAGCCCCGUACACAAAAAUGCACAUGCUGUGAGCUCGAUGAGUAGGGCGGGACACGUGGUAUCCUGUCUGAAUAUGGGGGGACCAUCCUCCAAGGCUAAAUACUCCUGACUGACCGAUAGUGAACCAGUACCGUGAGGGAAAGGCGAAAAGAACCCCGGCGAGGGGAGUGAAAAAGAACCUGAAACCGUGUACGUACAAGCAGUGGGAGCACGCUUAGGCGUGUGACUGCGUACCUUUUGUAUAAUGGGUCAGCGACUUAUAUUCUGUAGCAAGGUUAACCGAAUAGGGGAGCCGAAGGGAAACCGAGUCUUAACUGGGCGUUAAGUUGCAGGGUAUAGACCCGAAACCCGGUGAUCUAGCCAUGGGCAGGUUGAAGGUUGGGUAACACUAACUGGAGGACCGAACCGACUAAUGUUGAAAAAUUAGCGGAUGACUUGUGGCUGGGGGUGAAAGGCCAAUCAAACCGGGAGAUAGCUGGUUCUCCCCGAAAGCUAUUUAGGUAGCGCCUCGUGAAUUCAUCUCCGGGGGUAGAGCACUGUUUCGGCAAGGGGGUCAUCCCGACUUACCAACCCGAUGCAAACUGCGAAUACCGGAGAAUGUUAUCACGGGAGACACACGGCGGGUGCUAACGUCCGUCGUGAAGAGGGAAACAACCCAGACCGCCAGCUAAGGUCCCAAAGUCAUGGUUAAGUGGGAAACGAUGUGGGAAGGCCCAGACAGCCAGGAUGUUGGCUUAGAAGCAGCCAUCAUUUAAAGAAAGCGUAAUAGCUCACUGGUCGAGUCGGCCUGCGCGGAAGAUGUAACGGGGCUAAACCAUGCACCGAAGCUGCGGCAGCGACACUAUGUGUUGUUGGGUAGGGGAGCGUUCUGUAAGCCUGCGAAGGUGUGCUGUGAGGCAUGCUGGAGGUAUCAGAAGUGCGAAUGCUGACAUAAGUAACGAUAAAGCGGGUGAAAAGCCCGCUCGCCGGAAGACCAAGGGUUCCUGUCCAACGUUAAUCGGGGCAGGGUGAGUCGACCCCUAAGGCGAGGCCGAAAGGCGUAGUCGAUGGGAAACAGGUUAAUAUUCCUGUACUUGGUGUUACUGCGAAGGGGGGACGGAGAAGGCUAUGUUGGCCGGGCGACGGUUGUCCCGGUUUAAGCGUGUAGGCUGGUUUUCCAGGCAAAUCCGGAAAAUCAAGGCUGAGGCGUGAUGACGAGGCACUACGGUGCUGAAGCAACAAAUGCCCUGCUUCCAGGAAAAGCCUCUAAGCAUCAGGUAACAUCAAAUCGUACCCCAAACCGACACAGGUGGUCAGGUAGAGAAUACCAAGGCGCUUGAGAGAACUCGGGUGAAGGAACUAGGCAAAAUGGUGCCGUAACUUCGGGAGAAGGCACGCUGAUAUGUAGGUGAAGUCCCUCGCGGAUGGAGCUGAAAUCAGUCGAAGAUACCAGCUGGCUGCAACUGUUUAUUAAAAACACAGCACUGUGCAAACACGAAAGUGGACGUAUACGGUGUGACGCCUGCCCGGUGCCGGAAGGUUAAUUGAUGGGGUUAGCGCAAGCGAAGCUCUUGAUCGAAGCCCCGGUAAACGGCGGCCGUAACUAUAACGGUCCUAAGGUAGCGAAAUUCCUUGUCGGGUAAGUUCCGACCUGCACGAAUGGCGUAAUGAUGGCCAGGCUGUCUCCACCCGAGACUCAGUGAAAUUGAACUCGCUGUGAAGAUGCAGUGUACCCGCGGCAAGACGGAAAGACCCCGUGAACCUUUACUAUAGCUUGACACUGAACAUUGAGCCUUGAUGUGUAGGAUAGGUGGGAGGCUUUGAAGUGUGGACGCCAGUCUGCAUGGAGCCGACCUUGAAAUACCACCCUUUAAUGUUUGAUGUUCUAACGUGGACCCGUAAUCCGGGUUGCGGACAGUGUCUGGUGGGUAGUUUGACUGGGGCGGUCUCCUCCUAAAGAGUAACGGAGGAGCACGAAGGUUGGCUAAUCCUGGUCGGACAUCAGGAGGUUAGUGCAAUGGCAUAAGCCAGCUUGACUGCGAGCGUGACGGCGCGAGCAGGUGCGAAAGCAGGUCAUAGUGAUCCGGUGGUUCUGAAUGGAAGGGCCAUCGCUCAACGGAUAAAAGGUACUCCGGGGAUAACAGGCUGAUACCGCCCAAGAGUUCAUAUCGACGGCGGUGUUUGGCACCUCGAUGUCGGCUCAUCACAUCCUGGGGCUGAAGUAGGUCCCAAGGGUAUGGCUGUUCGCCAUUUAAAGUGGUACGCGAGCUGGGUUUAGAACGUCGUGAGACAGUUCGGUCCCUAUCUGCCGUGGGCGCUGGAGAACUGAGGGGGGCUGCUCCUAGUACGAGAGGACCGGAGUGGACGCAUCACUGGUGUUCGGGUUGUCAUGCCAAUGGCACUGCCCGGUAGCUAAAUGCGGAAGAGAUAAGUGCUGAAAGCAUCUAAGCACGAAACUUGCCCCGAGAUGAGUUCUCCCUGACCCUUUAAGGGUCCUGAAGGAACGUUGAAGACGACGACGUUGAUAGGCCGGGUGUGUAAGCGCAGCGAUGCGUUGAGCUAACCGGUACUAAUGAACCGUGAGGCUUAACCUU
RNAcentral lists this ribosomal RNA (2901 nucleotides) under Escherichia coli KTE29. Its description in RNAcentral is "bacterial LSU rRNA". It matches the Rfam family "Bacterial large subunit ribosomal RNA". The record is from RNAcentral. Lineage: Bacteria; Pseudomonadati; Pseudomonadota; Gammaproteobacteria; Enterobacterales; Enterobacteriaceae.